RNAcentral lists this ribosomal RNA (253 nucleotides) under uncultured bacterium. RNAcentral describes it as "partial 16S ribosomal RNA". It matches the Rfam family "Bacterial small subunit ribosomal RNA", at positions 524 to 776 of the family's 1533-position model. The record is from RNAcentral.
UACGUAGGUGGCAAGCGUUGUCCGGAUUUACUGGGCGUAAAGGAUGCGUAGGCGGACAUUUAAGUCAGAUAUGAAAUACCCGAGCUUAACUUGGGUGCUGCAUUUGAAACUGGGUGUCUAGAGUGCAGGAGAGGUAAGUGGAAUUCCUAGUGUAGCGGUGAAAUGCGUAGAGAUUAGGAAGAACACCAGUGGCGAAGGCGACUUACUGGACUGUAACUGACGCUGAGGCAUGAAAGCGUGGGGAGCAAACAGG